ACGCAUUAAGUGCUCCGCCUGGGGAGUACGCACGCAAGUGUGAAACUCAAAGGAAUUGACGGGGACCCGCACAAGCAGCGGAGCAUGUGGUUUAAUUCGAAGCAACGCGAAGAACCUUACCAGGACUUGACAUCCCUCUGACAGUCCCUUAACCGGGAUCUCCCUUCGGGGCAGAGGAGACAGGUGGUGCAUGGUUGUCGUCAGCUCGUGUCGUGAGAUGUUGGGUUAAGUCCCGCAACGAGCGCAACCCUUGUCAUUAGUUGCCAGCAGUUCGGCUGGGCACUCUAGUGAGACUGCCGGGGAUAACUCGGAGGAAGGUGGGGAUGACGUCAAAUCAUCAUGCCCCUUAUGUUCUGGGCUACACACGUGCUACAAUGACUGGUACAAAGAGAAGCAAGACCGCGAGGUGGAGCAAAUCUCAAAAACCAGUCCCA
This 434-nucleotide ribosomal RNA is filed under the name uncultured bacterium. Its description in RNAcentral is "bacterial SSU rRNA". It matches the Rfam family "Bacterial small subunit ribosomal RNA", at positions 855 to 1290 of the family's 1533-position model. The record is from RNAcentral.